RNAcentral lists this ribosomal RNA (492 nucleotides) under uncultured bacterium. Its description in RNAcentral is "partial 16S ribosomal RNA". It matches the Rfam family "Bacterial small subunit ribosomal RNA", at positions 29 to 507 of the family's 1533-position model. The record is from RNAcentral.
AGUGAACGCUGGCGGUAGGCCUAACACAUGCAAGUCGAACGGCAGCACAGUAAGUGCUUGCUCUUACGGGUGGCGAGUGGCGGACGGGUGAGGAAUACAUCGUAAUCUACUUUUUCGUGGGGGAUAACGUAGGGAAACUUACGCUAAUACCGCAUACGACCUACGGGUGAAAGCAUGGGAUCUUCUGACCUUGCGCGAUUGAAUGCGCCGAUGUCGGAUUAGCUAGUUGGCGGGGUAAAGGCCCACCCAGGCGACGAUCCGUAGCCGGUCUGAGAGGAGGAUCGGCCACACUGGAACUGAGACACGGUCCAGACUCCUACGGGAGGCAGCAGUGGGGAAUAUUGGACAAUGGGCGCAAGCCUGAUCCAGCCAUACCGCGUGGGUUGAGAAGGCCUUCGGGUUGUAAAGCCCUUUUGUUGGGAAAGAAAAGCAGCAGGUUAAUACCCCGCUGUUCUGACGGUACCCAAAGAAUAAGCACCGGCUAACUUCGUG